AGAACGAACGCUGGCGGCAGGCCUAAUACAUGCAAGUCGAACGCACUCUUCGGAGUGAGUGGCAGACGGGUGAGUAACGCGUGGGAACCUUCCCAAUGGUACGGAAUAACUCCGGGAAACCGGUGCUAAUACCGUAUAAGCCCCUCGGGGGAAAGAUUUAUCGCCAUUGGAUGGGCCCGCGUCGGAUUAGCUAGUUGGUAAGGUAAUGGCUUACCAAGGCUACGAUCCGUAGCUGGUCUGAGAGGAUGAUCAGCCACACUGGGACUGAGACACGGCCCAGACUCCUACGGGAGGCAGCAGUAGGGAAUCUUGGACAAUGGGCGAAAGCCUGAUCCAGCCAUGCCGCGUGAGUGAAGAAGGCCUUAGGGUUGUAAAGCUCUUUUGGCGGGGACGAUAAUGACGGUACCCGCAGAAUAAGCCCCGGCUAACUUCGUGCCACAGCCGC
Molecule: ribosomal RNA, 445 nt
Filed under: uncultured bacterium
Lineage: Bacteria
Description: SSU rRNA
Rfam family: Bacterial small subunit ribosomal RNA
Source: RNAcentral